AUGUGCGAGAGCACGAUGAGGGGGUCCCAAGUGCUGGCACGUAAGUGUCAGCUGUUUCUUAGUCUAAAAAACUGAGAGAGUAAGAGCUGGGUAAGACGGGUGCCAGCCGCCGCGGUAAUACCUGCAGCUCAAGUGGUGGCCGCUAUUAUUGGGCCUAAAACGUCCGUAGCCGGUUUAGUAAAUGCCUGGGUAAAUUGUGUAGCUUAACUAUACGAAUUCCGGGUAGACUGCUAAACUUGGGACCGGGAGAGGCUAGAGGUACUCCUGGGGUAGAGGUGAAAUUCUGUAAUCCUAGGGGGACCACCAGUGGCGAAGGCGUCUAGCUAGAACGGGUCUGACGGUGAGGGACGAAGCCCUGGGGCGCAAACCGGAUUAGAUACCCGGGUAGUCCAGGGUGUAAACGCUGCUUGCUUGAUGUUAGUUGGGCUCCGAGCCCAACUAGUGUCGGAGAGAAGUUGUUAAGCAAGCUGCCUGGGAAGUACGGUCGCAAG
This 491-nucleotide ribosomal RNA is filed under the name uncultured archaeon. RNAcentral's name for it is "bacterial SSU rRNA". It matches the Rfam family "Archaeal small subunit ribosomal RNA", at positions 355 to 847 of the family's 1478-position model. The record is from RNAcentral.